This 286-nucleotide ribosomal RNA is filed under the name Tuber sp. 47 GB-2010. Its description in RNAcentral is "partial 28S ribosomal RNA". The stretch from base 32 to 286 matches the Rfam family "Eukaryotic large subunit ribosomal RNA", at positions 1 to 253 of the family's 3401-position model. The record is from RNAcentral. Lineage: Eukaryota; Fungi; Ascomycota; Pezizomycetes; Pezizales; Tuberaceae.
UUGACCCUCAUCCUGUGUAAAGCAGUAAGAAUGACCUCGGAUCAGGUAGGGAUACCCGCUGAACUUAAGCAUAUCAAUAAGCGGAGGAAAAGAAACCAACAGGGAUUGCCUUAGUAACGGCGAGUGAAGCGGCAAAAGCUCAAAUUUGAAAUCUGACAUCUCUGAUGUUCGAGUUGUAAUUUGGAGAGACAUCUUCUGGAGGGACCCAGCCUAUGUGCCUUGGAACAGGACAUCAUAGAGGGUGAGAAUCCCGUUCUUGGCUGGAUGUUCCCUCCUCCAUGUAGUG